Molecule: transfer RNA, 72 nt
Filed under: Bos taurus (domestic cattle)
Lineage: Eukaryota; Metazoa; Chordata; Mammalia; Artiodactyla; Bovidae
Also listed under: 1 other name
Rfam family: tRNA
About the family: Transfer RNA (tRNA) molecules are approximately 80 nucleotides in length. Their secondary structure includes four short double-helical elements and three loops (D, anti-codon, and T loops).
Source: Rfam by way of RNAcentral
UCCAUUGUAGCUAAGUGGGUAAAGAAUCUGCUUGCAAUGCAGGAGAUCUAGGUUCACUUCCUGGGUUGGGAA